RNAcentral lists this ribosomal RNA (497 nucleotides) under uncultured bacterium. RNAcentral describes it as "partial 16S ribosomal RNA". It matches the Rfam family "Bacterial small subunit ribosomal RNA", at positions 28 to 507 of the family's 1533-position model. The record is from RNAcentral.
GAUGAACGCUGGCGGCGUGCCUAAUACAUGCAAGUCGAGCGAAUAGACGAGGAUCUUUCUCCUCUUACGUUAACGACGGACGGGUAAGGCACACGUAUAUAACCUACCUAUAGGACUAGCAUAACUUCGGGAGACCUGAUCUAACACCCGAUAAUAGAUUGAACCGCAUGGUUCAUCAGUGAAAAACGGUUUUGCUGUCCCUUAUAGAUAUAUCCGCGGCGCAUUAGCUAGUUGCUAAGGUAACGGCGUACCAAGGCUACUAUGCGUAGCCGACCUGAGAGGGUGAUCGGUCACACUGGAACUGAGACACGGUCCAGACUCCUACGGGAGGCAGCAGUAGGGAAUCUUCCGCAAUGGGCGAAAGCCUGAUGGAGCAACGCCGCGUGUGUGAUGAAGGUCUUCGGAUCGUAAAACUCUGUUAUUAGGGAAGAACAAAUGUGUAAGAAAGUAUGGACGUUUUGACGUUACCUAAUCAGAAAGCCACGGCUAACUACGUG